RNAcentral lists this unclassified non-coding RNA (484 nucleotides) under Hevea brasiliensis (rubber tree). Lineage: Eukaryota; Viridiplantae; Streptophyta; Magnoliopsida; Malpighiales; Euphorbiaceae. The record is from RNAcentral.
GUUUUUGCAGCUUCAAAUUCCAGAUGAAGCUUUGUCCUUACUUUUGGGUAUGGGCUACAAAGAACAGGAUGCCAAGAGAGCGCUGCGUAUGAACAACCAAGUAGUAGAAAAUGCUGUUGAUUUUCUUGUUGAAGAGAGAGAAAAGAAAGCACGGAAAAGGGUGGAUGACCUUAAGCGGCAGAAGGAGAUCAUGGAGCAAAAGUGUUAUGGAACGACUCCUCUUGGAAAAGCUGUUGAUAUCGAGAGGCUGAAUGAAUUGGUGUCAAUUGGGUUUGAGAAAGAGCUUGCUGCAGAAGCACUGCGACGAAAUGAAAAUGACACACAAAAGGCUUUGGAUGACUUGACAAAUCCAGAAGCUAAUUCUUCAAUACAGAUGCAUAUCGAGUCUAGGAGGAAAAAAAGAUUGCGUCAAGCAGCCAAUGCUUCAAUUGAAGAGCUUGUAUCCAUGGGUUUCCCCAGAGAAGCAGCGGCUGCAGCUGUUCGC